AUUGAACGCUGGCGGCAGGCCUAACACAUGCAAGUCGAGCGGGGUUUUCGGACCUAGCGGCGGACGGAUGAGUAAUGCGUAGGAAGCUACCCGAUAGAGGGGGAUACCAGUUGGAAACGACUGUUAAUACCGCAUAAUGUCUACGGACCAAAGUGUGGGACCUUCGGGCCACAUGCUAUCGGAUGCGCCUACGUGGGAUUAGCUAGUUGGUGGGGUAAUGGCUCACCAAGGCGACGAUCCCUAGCUGGUUUGAGAGGAUGAUCAGCCACACUGGAACUGAGACACGGUCCAGACUCCUACGGAGGCAGCAGUGGGGAAUAUUGGACAAUGGGCGCAAGCCUGAUCCAGCCAUGCCGCGUGUGUGAAGAAGGCCUCGGUUGUAAGACGA
RNAcentral lists this ribosomal RNA (388 nucleotides) under uncultured bacterium. RNAcentral describes it as "bacterial SSU rRNA". It matches the Rfam family "Bacterial small subunit ribosomal RNA", at positions 30 to 433 of the family's 1533-position model. The record is from RNAcentral.